Molecule: ribosomal RNA, 119 nt
Filed under: Pteropus alecto (black flying fox)
Lineage: Eukaryota; Metazoa; Chordata; Mammalia; Chiroptera; Pteropodidae
Source: RNAcentral
GUCUACGGCCAUGCCACCCUGAACAAGCCCCAUCCUGUCUGAUCUUGGAAGCUAAGCAGGGUCGGGCCUGGUUAGUACUUGGAUGGGAGACCACCUAGGAAGACCAGGUGCUGUAAGUG